AGUGAACGCUGGCGGUAGGCCUAACACAUGCAAGUCGAACGGCAGCACAGUAAGAGCUUGCUCUUACGGGUGGCGAGUGUCGGACGGGGGAGGAAGACAUCGGAAUCUACUUUUUCAUGGGGGAUAACGUAGGGAAACUUACUCUAAUACCGCAUACGACCUACGGGUGAAAGCAGGCGAUCUUCUGACCUUGCGCGAGUGAAUGAGCCGAUGUCGGAUUCGCUAGUUGGCGGGGUAGAGGGGCAGCAAGGCGACGAUCCGUAGCUGCUCUGAGAGGAUGAUCACACACACUGGCACUGAGACACGGUACAGACUCUUACGCGGGGCCGCAGUGCGGACUAUUAGACGAUGGGGCAAAGCCUGAUCCUGGCCUACCGGGUAGGUGAAGAAGCACCUCGGGUUGUAGAGUCAUUUUGUUGGGAAAGAAGAAAAGCAGGUUAAUCCCCCGUUGUUAUGACGGUACCCAAAGAAUAAGCCCCGGCUAACUUCGUG
This 492-nucleotide ribosomal RNA is filed under the name uncultured bacterium. RNAcentral's name for it is "partial 16S ribosomal RNA". It matches the Rfam family "Bacterial small subunit ribosomal RNA", at positions 29 to 507 of the family's 1533-position model. The record is from RNAcentral.